RNAcentral lists this ribosomal RNA (497 nucleotides) under uncultured bacterium. Its description in RNAcentral is "partial 16S ribosomal RNA". It matches the Rfam family "Bacterial small subunit ribosomal RNA", at positions 30 to 523 of the family's 1533-position model. The record is from RNAcentral.
AUUGAACGCUGGCGGCAUGCUUUACACAUGCAAGUCGAACGGUAACAGGCCGCAAGGUGCUGACGAGUGGCGAACGGGUGAGUAAUGCAUCGGAACGUGCCCAGUCGUGGGGGAUAACGCAGCGAAAGUUGCGCUAAUACCGCAUACGAUCUAUGGAUGAAAGCGGGGGACCGUGAGGCCUCGCGCGAUUGGAGCGGCCGAUGUCAGAUUAGGUAGUUGGUGGGGUAAGGCUCACCAAGCCGACGAUCUGUAGCUGGUCUGAGAGGACGACCAGCCACACUGGGACUGAGACACGGCCCAGACUCCUACGGGAGGCAGCAGUGGGGAAUUUUGGACAAUGGGCGCAAGCCUGAUCCAGCAAUGCCGCGUGCAGGAAGAAGGCCUUCGGGUUGUAAACUGCUUUUGUACGGAACGAAACGGUCCUGGUUAAUACCCGGGGCUAAUGACGGUACCGUAAGAAUAAGCACCGGCUAACUACGUGCCAGCCGCCGCCGUAA